This 1551-nucleotide long non-coding RNA is filed under the name Malus domestica (apple). Its description in RNAcentral is "long non-coding RNA (MDOM_LNC012975)". Lineage: Eukaryota; Viridiplantae; Streptophyta; Magnoliopsida; Rosales; Rosaceae. The record is from RNAcentral.
GUGUUAUUACUAUUAGAGACUCCAGCUUACCUAGUUCAAACAGCUAUGACCUCACAAGUAUCUGUGAGUAGGUCUUUUCUUUGAUAUGUAAAUAUAUUUGUUUAGUUUCCAUAUAUACAUCUAAUAAUGAAUUUUCUAUAUGACUGCCGUAAUUAAAUUAUAAUUUGUAAAAAAUGACGUAACGAUGAGAAUACCAUUAUAAAUCCUACAGGAUGCCUUAGCUAAACUUACGGCUAUGAAUAAUGUUAUGUCGACUAGAAUUAUUAAAUCACUGUGGCAUGGUUAUAUUUGUGUUAAUUGGUCAUCGUUUGCUUUCAUUAGUAUGUGCACAUCGCACUAUACGCUCACUUUGGAUUCAUUGUAGAUACCAGUCCUAUCCUAGAUUGCUAUAGGCAAUUAGGACUCGUAUGUGCUGUGUAUAGUGCCAGUCUUCACGUGAUUGUAGUACUAUAGCGUAUAUUAUUGUUACACCCAGUCAUGUUCAUGUCAGAAUAUCUUUGCAUGAACUUGUGUAUUAGCAUGUGUUGAUGAGCAUUCGAUAUGAUAUGUUUGCUAUUGUGAGAUUAUGUGAUUACAGGGGUCAUGUGCUUACUUACACAACAUUGUACCUUAUUGAAUUCUUGAGAUUUUGCAGGCUACGGUAAAUAUUUUCUUACUAUACGUAGUAUGUAUAUUUUGAAAACUAUACUUGUUUUAUGGCGAGAGGUUAUUACGUUUUUGAAAAGGUUUUUACAAAGCUUUGUUUUUAGGCCCACACACCCUUAUUUUUCGCCCUCCAGGUUUUAUUGCUGAGCUUUCAUAUCGACGAGGAUUCUUGGAAAAUCUCGUUAAAGGUGGCUACCUUUGAUGGUAUAAUUCUUAUCUUACUUUACUGUACUUUACUUAUGCUCUGACAUCACUUGUGAAAUGGAUUCAUUCUUGCUCACCAGCGCACUCUUAUAUUUAGGCGCUUUAGGGUUUAAAUUUAUUCACAAUUUUCCACAUCACUACACUUUAUGGCUUCGUCACCCUUCGAGUGUCGGCCAACACAACUUGAUUCGGAGUCCAAGUGGACAUUUCGGGUCGGGGUGUGACAGAGAGACUAUCUAGGAGGAAAUCUAGGAUAAGAUACCCAAUCUUUCUCGCAUCUUAAUUAUAUUGCCUAAUACCUAAGGUAUCCUAAUUUGUCUUUAAUUAGGGCUUCUUUUCUUGGAAAAAAAAAAAAUCUUUAAUGAGCUUAGGCCUAGUCUGUCUGACUUCACUUAGUAUUCUGACUUCAUCUAACUCGGUCUACUCUGAAUUUGACUAAGUCUACUCCGAAUCUAACUAGGUCAACUCUAAAUCUGACUAAGUCAACUUUGAAUUUGACUCGGUUUACUCAAAUUUGAUUAUGUCUAGUCCUCUUUGACUAUAAGAGUAACCUAUUUCGAUCCAUAUCAAGCCUCCCAGCUUAUCCACCUAAAUAUCAUGUGCUAUGAGAAUUCCGAUCUUUCUUGCCACUUAAGAUACCACAUGUCUUGGGUCUAGAAAAUCAUGGUCCAAUAGGACUUAACUUCAAAUUCACACUGGCUU